AGUGACGGAUAUUGGGCGUAAGGGCUCGCAGGCGGUUUCUUAAGUCUGAUGUGAAAGCCCCCGGCUCAACCGGGGAGGGUCAUUGGAAACUGGGGAACUUGAGUGCAGAAGAGGAGAGUGGAAUUCCACGUGUAGCGGUGAAAUGCGUAGAGAUGUGGAGGAACACCAGUGGCGAAGGCGACUCUCUGGUCUGUAACUGACGCUGAGGAGCGAAAGCGUGGGGAGCGAACAGGAUUAGAUACCCGCGUAGUCACAAC
Molecule: ribosomal RNA, 257 nt
Filed under: Bacillus subtilis
Lineage: Bacteria; Bacillati; Bacillota; Bacilli; Caryophanales; Bacillaceae
Description: partial 16S ribosomal RNA
Rfam family: Bacterial small subunit ribosomal RNA
Source: RNAcentral